GAUGAACGCUGGCGGCGUGCCUAAUACAUGCAAGUCGAGCGAACAGACGAGGAGCUUGCUCCUCUGACGUUAGCGGCGGACGGGUGAGUAACACGUGGAUAACCUACCUAUAAUACUUGGAUAACUUCGGGAAACCGGAGCUAAUACCGGAUAAUAUAUUUAACCGCAUGGUUCAAUAGUUAAAGACGGUUUUGCUGUCUCUUAUAGAUGGAUCCGCGCCGCAUUAGCUAGUUGGUAAGGUAACGGCUUACCAAGGCGACGAUGCGUAGCCGACCUGAGAGGGUGAUCGGCCACACUGGAACUGAGACACGGUCCAGAGUCCUACGGGAGGCAGCAGUAGGGAAUAUUCCGCAAUGGGCGAAAGCCUGACGGAGCAAAGCCGCGUGAGUGAUGAAGGUCUUCGGAUCGUAAAACUCUGUUAUUAGGGAAGAACAAAUGUGUAAGUAAAUAUGCACGUCUUGACGGUACCUAAUCAGAAAGCCACGGCUAACUACGUG
This 497-nucleotide ribosomal RNA is filed under the name uncultured bacterium. Its description in RNAcentral is "partial 16S ribosomal RNA". It matches the Rfam family "Bacterial small subunit ribosomal RNA", at positions 28 to 507 of the family's 1533-position model. The record is from RNAcentral.